Molecule: ribosomal RNA, 275 nt
Filed under: uncultured bacterium
Lineage: Bacteria
Description: partial 16S ribosomal RNA
Rfam family: Bacterial small subunit ribosomal RNA
Source: RNAcentral
CCUACGGGAGGCUGCAGUCGAGAAUCUUCGGCAAUGGGCGCAAGCCUGACCGAGCGACGCCGCGUGCGGGAUGAAGGCCUUCGGGUUGUAAACCGCUGUCGGGGGGGAGCAACGGCCGCGAGGCCUUGAGCGAUCCCCGGAGGAAGGACGGGCUAAGUUCGUGCCAGCAGCCGCGGUAAGACGAACCGUCCGAACGUUAUUCGGAAUCACUGGGCUUAAAGCGUGCGUAGGCGGCCGGCCAAGUGAGGUGUGAAAGGCCCCGGCUCAACCGGGGC